GGAUGCAAGCGUUAUCCGGAAUGAUUGGGCGUAAAGCGUCCGCAGGUGGCAGUUCAAGUCUGCUGUCAAAGACCGGGGCUUAACUUCGGAAAGGCAGUGGAAACUGAACAGCUAGAGUAUGGUAGGGGCAGAGGGAAUUCCUGGUGUAGCGGUGAAAUGCGUAGAGAUCAGGAAGAACAUCGGUGGCGAAGGCGCUCUGCUGGACCAUAACUGACACUCAGGGACGAAAGCUAGGGGAGCGAAUGGG
RNAcentral lists this ribosomal RNA (247 nucleotides) under uncultured bacterium. RNAcentral describes it as "partial 16S ribosomal RNA". It matches the Rfam family "Bacterial small subunit ribosomal RNA", at positions 530 to 776 of the family's 1533-position model. The record is from RNAcentral.